AUGAAGUGCAGCCAAGCACUGAUAUUAAAUGAGGGCUCUCUUCUUGAAGUGUUCAUUAAUGGGGCCCUUGUGUGUAGAUUUCCUCCAGAAAAAGAAAUCUUGAAGAAAACCUACCUCAACCAUUUAAUUUUACAUACAAAGAGAUCUUACUGUUCAGAGAAGGUCUUUAUCUGCUUCUUCUCCCUUUUCCAGUCUCCAUCAAUUGCCAUGCCUGCCGUCAGGAUGGGGAUGGGAGUGAGGAAUACAGCUCAUAUACCCUGAAUGUAUAAAACCAUCCAUCCUACACUCCAAGCCCUUCAUGUAGGAAAAGUAUCCAGCUGUAUCUUUAUGCUUAGAUAAAAGCCAUUCCCUGGCCAUUUUGCUAUCUAGAAUUCUUGUCCAUCUUGGAUAUUAGAACAUGGGUCCCUAUGCCUGCCUAUUCUGACUUAGAAUUCUUUUGUGUCUUACAGUUUGGCUUGAUAUACUUCAUUCAGAUCAUAACUUCUUGCCUAGGUUUCAUAGUAGUCUUCCAAUUCCUUUUUAUUCAAAGGGGUUGUCUGGCUAUGACUGAUAGCUAUUCAGUUUGAUGUUCUUUCCUAGUUUAUUUGCUCCUUGGAUAUUCUAGAUUUACCUCUCAGGAUCAGGCUCAAACUGAAGGGAAAAGCAAGGAAUGAGAGAGUUUUUGCCCAUUUGUAAAGAAUGUAAACUAUUUGAGGGUAGGUUCUGUUCUCACUUUCCUUUUUUUCAUCAGCAUUUAAUCUAGUUCCUGGCACCCAGUAAGUAUUUAAUUAAUAUUUGUAGCCUUGAAUUGUAAAUGGUGAGAGAGAUUUGCUUUUCUAAAAGAAGAAUAAAGAACCAUCUCCUUCUACCA
This 850-nucleotide long non-coding RNA is filed under the name Monodelphis domestica (gray short-tailed opossum). RNAcentral describes it as "lncRNA (ENSMODG00000048056.1)". Lineage: Eukaryota; Metazoa; Chordata; Mammalia; Didelphimorphia; Didelphidae. The record is from RNAcentral.